GAUGAAGAACGUAGCGAAAUGCGAUAAGUAAUGUGAAUUGCAGAAUUCAGUGAAUCAUCGAAUCUUUGAACGCACAUUGCGCCCCCUGGUAUUCCGGGGGGCAUGCCUGUUCGAGCGUCAUUUCACCACUCAAGCCUCGCUUGGUAUUGGGCAACGCGGUCCGCCGCGUGCCUCAAAUCGACCGGCUGGGUCUUCUGUCGCCUAAGCGUUGUGGAAACUUUCGCUAAAGGGUGUUCGGGAGGCUACGCCGUAAAACAACCCCAUUUCUAAGGUUUACCUCGGAUCAGGUAGGGAUACCCGCUGAACUUAAGCAUAUCAAUAAGCGGAGGA
This 330-nucleotide unclassified non-coding RNA is filed under the name soil metagenome. RNAcentral's name for it is "partial contains 5.8S ribosomal RNA, internal transcribed spacer 2, and large subunit ribosomal RNA". The stretch from base 1 to 120 matches the Rfam family "5.8S ribosomal RNA", at positions 35 to 154 of the family's 154-position model. The record is from RNAcentral.